GGUUUAUGCAUCUAUUAUUAGCAUUGAAGGAGGCGGAACUAUGUACCUAUUAGUCCCAAUGCAGGGGGUGGGGCCUAUGUACCUAUUAGUCCUAGUGCAGGGGGUGGGGCCUAUGUACCUAUUAAUUUUAUUGAAGAAGGCGUGGCUUGUGCACCUGUUAGUAGCAUUGAUUGAGGUGUGGCCUAUGUGCCAUUUAGUCCCUGUGAAAAAAGCGUGACCUGUGCUGUUAGUUUUAGUGAAGGAGGCAUGGCCCGUGCACCUGUUAGUAGCAUUGAAGGAGGUGUGACCUAUGUAUUUGUUAGUAGCAUCGAAGGAGGUGUGGCCUAGGAAUUUGUUAGUAGCAUCGAAGGAGGUGUGGCCUAGGAAUUUGUUAGUAGCAUCGAAGGAGGUGUGGCCUAGGAAUUUGUUAGUAGCAUUGAAGGAGGUGUGGCCUAUGUAUUUGUUAGUAACAUUGAAGGAGGCGUGGCCUGUGUACCUGUCAGUUUUAGUGAAGGAGGCGUGGUCUUUUUUUGUCCAAAGG
Long non-coding RNA from Ictalurus punctatus (channel catfish), 520 nucleotides. Lineage: Eukaryota; Metazoa; Chordata; Actinopteri; Siluriformes; Ictaluridae. The record is from Ensembl.